GCCGGUGUGGCGAAAUGGCAGACGCGGCAGAUUCAAAAUCUGCUCCUAGCAAUAGGGUGUUGGUUCGAGUCCGACCAUCGGCA
RNAcentral lists this transfer RNA (83 nucleotides) under Parachlamydiales bacterium. RNAcentral describes it as "tRNA-Leu". It matches the Rfam family "tRNA". From Rfam's summary of the family: Transfer RNA (tRNA) molecules are approximately 80 nucleotides in length. Their secondary structure includes four short double-helical elements and three loops (D, anti-codon, and T loops). Lineage: Bacteria; Pseudomonadati; Chlamydiota; Chlamydiia; Parachlamydiales. The record is from RNAcentral.